RNAcentral lists this ribosomal RNA (445 nucleotides) under uncultured bacterium. RNAcentral's name for it is "bacterial SSU rRNA". It matches the Rfam family "Bacterial small subunit ribosomal RNA", at positions 329 to 792 of the family's 1533-position model. The record is from RNAcentral.
UGCCAGACUCCUACGGGAGGCAGCAGUGGGGGAUAUUGGACAAUGGGGGAAACCCUGAUCCAGCGAUGCCGCGUGAGGGAAGAAGGUUUCGGAUUGUAAACCUCUGUGGACAGGGACGAUAAUGACGGUACCUGUCAAGAAAGCCACGGCUAACUACGUGCCAGCAGCCGCGGUAAUACGUAGGGGGCAAGCGUUAUCCGGAUUUACUGGGUGUAAAGGGAGCGUAGACGGCAGCGCAAGUCUGAAGUGAAAUGCCGGGGCUUAACCCCGGAACUGCUUUGGAAACUGUGCAGCUAGGGUGCAGGAGAGGUAAGUGGAAUUCCUGGUGUAGCGGUGAAAUGCGUAGAUAUCAGGAGGAACACCGGCGGCGAAGGCGGCCUGCUGGACUGAAACUGACGUUGAGGCUCGAAAGCGUGGGGAGCAAACAGGAUUAGAUACCCCCGUA